AUCUAAUCUGAAAAUCAUGCUAAGGAUCUUGACACGAACUUGCUACUUUGAUCUGAAAUCUGAAAAAAAAUAAACAUCAGCAAAAUAAAAUCGGAGAUCAGAUCUCCAUACCUUCAGAUCCUGUAGAUCUCUGAGAUUCUGAUCAUAGCCGCACACACAACUGACCUUUGCUAGUAUCCAUAUAGAGAUAUCUGAUCAGAGCACCAAGAUCACCGAUGUGCUAGCACCUUGCAGAUCUUUCUCCUCAGCCAUGGAUCUGUAUCUCUUUUUCAAGAUCUCGAAGAAGAUGAUUGCUGCGCGAACUCCUUCGUGCAGAUCUGACAGAAUCUGAA
This 332-nucleotide long non-coding RNA is filed under the name Elaeis guineensis (African oil palm). RNAcentral's name for it is "long non-coding RNA (EGUI_LNC055910)". The record is from RNAcentral. Lineage: Eukaryota; Viridiplantae; Streptophyta; Magnoliopsida; Arecales; Arecaceae.